ACGCGUGAGAAUCUGCCCUCAGGAGGGGGAUAACGGCUGGAAACGGCCGCUAAUACCCCAUAUGCCGAGAGGUGAAACGAGUUUUCGCCUGAGGAUGAGCUCGCGUCUGAUUAGCUAGUUGGUGGGGUAAGAGCCUACCAAGGCAUCGAUCAGUAGCUGGUCUGAGAGGAUGAUCAGCCACACUGGGACUGAGACACGGCCCAGACUCCUACGGGAGGCAGCAGUGGGGAAUUUUCCGCAAUGGGCGAAAGCCUGACGGAGCAACGCCGCGUGAGGGAUGAAGGCCUCUGGGCUGUAAACCUCUUUUAUCAAGGAAGAAGAUCUGACGGUACUUGAUGAAUAAGCCACGGCUAAUUCCGUGCCAGCAGCCGCGGUAAUACGGGAGUGGCAAGCGUUAUCCGGAAUUAUUGGGCGUAAAGCGUCCGCAGGCGGCCUGAUAAGUCUGUUGUCAAAGCGUGGAGCUCAACUCCAUUUCGGCAAUGGAAACUGUGAGGCUUGAGUGUGGUAGGGGCAGAGGGAAUUCCCGGUGUAGCGGUGAAAUGCGUAGAUAUCGGGAAGAACACCAGUGGCGAAGGCGCUCUGCUGGGCCAUAACUGACGCUCAUGGACGAAAGCCAGGGGAGCGAAAGGGAUUAGAUACCCCUGUAGUCCUGGCCGUAAACGAUGAACACUAGGUGUCGGGGGAAUCGACCCCCUCGGUGUCGUAGCCAACGCGUUAAGUGUUCCGCCUGGGGAGUACGCACGCAAGUGUGAAACUCAAAGGAAUUGACGGGGGCCCGCACAAGCGGUGGAGUAUGUGGUUUAAUUCGAUGCAACGCGAAGAACCUUACCAGGGUUUGACAUCCUGCGAAUCCCUUGGAAACGAGGGAGUGCCUUCGGGAGCGCAGAGACAGGUGGUGCAUGGCUGUCGUCAGCUCGUGUCGUGAGAUGUUGGGUUAAGUCCCGCAACGAGCGCAACCCACGUCUUUAGUUGCCAGCAUUGAGUUGGGCACUCUAGAGAGACCGCCGGUGAUAAACCGGAGGAAGGUGUGGAUGACGUCAAGUCAUCAUGCCCCUUACAUCCUGGGCUACACACGUACUACAAUGCUACGGACAAAGGGCAGCAAACUCGCGAGAGCUAGCAAAUCCCAUAAACCGUGGCUCAGUUCAGAUCGUAGGCUGCAACUCGCCUACGUGAAGGAGGAAUCGCUAGUAAUCGCAGGUCAGCAUACUGCGGUGAAUACGUUCCCGGGCCUUGUACACACCGCCCGUCACACCAUGGAAGUUGGCCACGCCCGAAGCCGUUACUCCAACCCUUGUGGAGGAGGACGUCGAAGG
This 1316-nucleotide ribosomal RNA is filed under the name Synechococcus sp. ACT 0615. RNAcentral describes it as "bacterial SSU rRNA". It matches the Rfam family "Bacterial small subunit ribosomal RNA", at positions 113 to 1462 of the family's 1533-position model. Lineage: Bacteria; Bacillati; Cyanobacteriota; Cyanophyceae; Synechococcales; Synechococcaceae. The record is from RNAcentral.